UAUAUAACUGGGCAAAAUUGCUCCUGAUAGCCGUUUUAAAUUCCUCUUCAUUGAUUAGUGAAUUCAAUCCUUUCAUUUUUGAUAGUAAUUUGGUUUUCCUCUUUACCUUUUAAAAUCAAACUAAUUAAUGAUUUUUCUAUCUUUUUUAUGUUAUUUCAUGUUUUUUUCAUUGUUCUCAUUUCAAAAAUCAUUUUUGAUUUCUAUAGUCAAAUUCCUUUUUUUUGCUCAUUGAUUUCUGCCUAUUUUGUGACUUGGUGUUUUUACUUAAGCUUUUUGUGCUAGGACUCAGGAUCUUGCUGCUGGCUUUCACUGGAUUUCAGUGCCCAGCUACUAGUUUGCACCGGAGGGUUCCCUUCUGUAUUGUGCAGAAGGUCCGGGGCCUCCCAGGUGUCCUGGCUGGGUGUGGAGUUUGACUGCCGGCCUGAACCAGGGUCAGGACCUUGCUGCUGAGUUGCUAUGGAAACAAAGUCUUUCUUUUGGCGGGUUCUUGGGGGAGGGAUCUCGUUUCUGGCCCGCCCUGUAAGAAGAACCUUGCGGCUGUGUUGCUAUGGCAACAAGUCUUUCUGCCGGCUGGCUCUGGGGGAGGGAUCUUGUUUCUAGCCGGCCCCAGAGGCGGGGCCUGGCUGCUGCAUUGCUAUGGAAACAGAGCCUUCUGUUGGCUGGCCGGCCCGGGAGGGGGAGGGAUCCGGUGGCUGGCCUGCCCGGGCUCCUAGCGCUUGCUGCUAGGUUGCUAUGGAAACAGGGCCUCUCGCCUUCAGGGCCUCGGGUCUGUGAUCUUGUUGCGGGGAGGCCCCGGUGCCAGGGUCCCAUUGUUGGCUAUCCGGCGGGGUGGGGCCGCACUUUCUGGUCAGCUGUCGGGGUCAGCUCUGACCCGUGGCCCGCGCGGAUUUUUGUGGUAGGGCCUCGCCGUCCUGCCGCGCUGGUAGGCUUGCCCAGGGGCCUGCGGGCUUGCAGGAAGGCAGGGCCUCACUGGAGCAUUGCCCCAGGCUGGAAGCCUGGCCCUGGGCCCCCUGCUGUGAGACCGUCCGUAGCAGUUGCUGCUGCUGCUGCUGCUGCUGCUGCUCCUACUGUUGCUGCCCCCGCGCCGCCGCCGCCGCCGCUGCUGCUCUUGCACUUCUCUCCCCUCCUCCCCAUGAGCCUGCCGUUUCCGGACGUGCUGCUUUGUGGUUGCUGUUGGGUAGCUUGGUGA
RNAcentral lists this long non-coding RNA (1189 nucleotides) under Sarcophilus harrisii (Tasmanian devil). RNAcentral's name for it is "lncRNA (ENSSHAG00000031415.1)". The record is from RNAcentral. Lineage: Eukaryota; Metazoa; Chordata; Mammalia; Dasyuromorphia; Dasyuridae.